GACGGGGCCGCACAAGCGGUGGAGCAUGUGGUUAAUUCGACGCAACGCGAAGAACCUUACCAGGGCUUGACAUCCCCUGACCGCGUAUGAAAGUACGUUUUCACCCUCGGGUGACAGGGAGACAGGUGGUGCAUGGUUGUCGUCAGCUCGUGUCGUGAGAUGUUGGGUUAAGUCCCGCAACGAGCGCAACCCCUACGUUUAGUUGCUAACGCGUGAAGGCGAGCACUCUAGACGAACUGCCGUUGACAAAACGGAGGAAGGUGGGAUGACGUCAAAUCAUCAUGCCCCUUAUGUUCUGGGCUACACACGUGCUACAAUGGCCGGUACAGACGGACGCAAAGCCGCGAGGUGGAGCAAAUCCUAAAAAGCCGGUCUCAGUUCGGAUUGCAGGCUGCAAUUCGCCUGCAUGAAGUCGGAAUCGCUAGUAAUCGCAGGUCAGCAUACUGCGGUGAAUACGUUCCCGGGCCUU
RNAcentral lists this ribosomal RNA (469 nucleotides) under uncultured Pelotomaculum sp. RNAcentral describes it as "bacterial SSU rRNA". It matches the Rfam family "Bacterial small subunit ribosomal RNA", at positions 917 to 1381 of the family's 1533-position model. Lineage: Bacteria; Bacillati; Bacillota; Clostridia; Eubacteriales; Desulfotomaculaceae. The record is from RNAcentral.